UCCUAACAGGGAGCCACGAAGUUCCAGGGU
RNAcentral lists this non-coding RNA (30 nucleotides) under Rattus norvegicus (Norway rat). The record is from RNAcentral. Lineage: Eukaryota; Metazoa; Chordata; Mammalia; Rodentia; Muridae.